AGUGAAAUGCGUAGAUAUCUGGAGGAACAUCAGUGGCGAAGGCGACUUCCUGGCUUAAAACUGACGCUGAGGUGCGAAAGCGUGGGUAGCGAACGGGAUUAGAUACCCCGGUAGUCCACGCCGUAAACGAUGUCAACUAGUUGUUGGUCUUAUUAAAAAGAUUAGUAACGAAGCUAACGCGAUAAGUUGACCGCCUGGGGAGUACGGUCGCAAGAUUAAAACUCAAAGGAAUUGACGGGGGCCCGCACAAGCGGUGGAGCAUGUGGUUUAAUUCGAUGCAACGCGAAGAACCUUACCAUCCCUUGACAUGUAGUGAACUUUCUAGAGAUAGAUUGGUGCCUUCGGGAACACUAACACAGGGUGCUGCAUGGNCUGUCGUCAGCCUCGCUGUCGUGAGAUGUUGGGUUAAGUCCCGCAAACGAGCGCAACCCNUAUCUUUAGUUGNUACCAUUAAGUGGAGAACUCUAAAGAGACUGCCGGUGAUAAACCGGAGGAAGGUGGGGACGACGUGCAAGUCAUCAUGGCCCUUAUGGGAUGGGCUAUCACACGUGCUACAAUGGGGGGUACAAAGAGCAGCCAACUGGCAACAGUGCGCGAAUCUCAAAAAACCUCUCGUAGUCCGGAUCGGAGUCUGCAACUCGACUCCGUGAAGUCGGAAUCGCUAGUAAUCGUGGAUCAGAAUGCCGCGGUGAAUACGUUCCCGGGCCUUGUACACACCGCCCGUGCACACCAUGGGAGUGGAUGGCAAAAGAAGUAGUGUAGCCUAACCUUCGGGAGGGCGCUUACCACUUUGUGGUUCAUGACUGGGGUGAAGUCGUAACAAGGUAUCC
RNAcentral lists this ribosomal RNA (830 nucleotides) under uncultured bacterium. Its description in RNAcentral is "bacterial SSU rRNA". It matches the Rfam family "Bacterial small subunit ribosomal RNA", at positions 680 to 1501 of the family's 1533-position model. The record is from RNAcentral.